ACCUGCUGCUUUCUUGGGGUUUAGGCGACUGAUUGCUUCUAUGAUCUCUGCAGAAGUGAAGGGUUGGAUAGGAGGGGACAUUUGGAAGAGAGUGAAGGGUUGGAUAGGAGGGGACAUUUGGAAGGGAGUGUGCAGGUAUUCGGUGACGUCCGCUGCAGCUAUGGAGGAAUGGGGUUGGAAUACUUCAGUCAAGUGUUUGGCAAAUAGGUUGGCUUUUUCUAUAGGGCUACGCGCCCAUCCACCCUGCGGGCGGCGGAUUGGAGGUAUUAUUUGUGGGGGGCGCGUGAGUUUCCUGGAGGCUUUCCAUAGUGAGUAGUUUGAGUCGGCUGUGGGGGACAGGCUGGCGAGAUAUUUGUGAAAACGGUCAUUAUUGUAGUUCUUUAUGGUUUUGGAUAGUUUUCUAGUUGCGUUGUUUAGUUUGCGUUUGUCCUCCGGUGUUCUAUGGGUCUGCCAUAUCCUUCUUAGUCUACGUUUUUCUG
Molecule: unclassified non-coding RNA, 479 nt
Filed under: Bombus terrestris (buff-tailed bumblebee)
Lineage: Eukaryota; Metazoa; Arthropoda; Insecta; Hymenoptera; Apidae
Description: misc RNA ENSBTSG00005021193.1
Source: RNAcentral